RNAcentral lists this long non-coding RNA (202 nucleotides) under Physcomitrium patens. RNAcentral describes it as "long non-coding RNA (PPAT_LNC006659)". The record is from RNAcentral. Lineage: Eukaryota; Viridiplantae; Streptophyta; Bryopsida; Funariales; Funariaceae.
GAGACAAAGCGUGGCUUCUUCGACAAAAUAUCAAGACCAAGCGACCAUGUGAUAAGUUGGACUAUCGAAGAUUGGGACCAUUUAUCAUCCAGAAGCAAAUUAAUCUAGUGGCAUACCGACUGGAGUUACCGACUUCUAUGAAGGUACAUCCAGUCUUUCAUGUUUCUCUAUUGGAACCUUAUCGAGAGUCAUCUUUUUCUGG